GACGAACGCUGGCGGCGUGCUUAACACAUGCAAGUCGAGCGGUAAGGCCCCUUCGGGGGUACGACGAGCGGCGAACGGGUGAGUAACACGUGGGUGACCUGCCCUCAGCUCUGGGAUAAGCCUGGGAAACUGGGUCUAAUACCGGAUAUGACUCCAUGACGCAUGUCGUGGGGUGGAAAGCCUUGUGCGGCUGGGGAUGGGCCCGCGGCCUAUCAGCUUGUUGGUGGGGUGAUGGCCUACCAAGGCGACGACGGGUAGCCGGCCUGAGAGGGCGACCGGCCACACUGGGACUGAGACACGGCCCAGACUCCUACGGGAGGCAGCAGUGGGGAAUCUUGCGCAAUGGGCGAAAGCCUGACGCAGCGACGCCGCGUGAGGGAUGACGG
RNAcentral lists this ribosomal RNA (386 nucleotides) under uncultured bacterium. RNAcentral's name for it is "bacterial SSU rRNA". It matches the Rfam family "Bacterial small subunit ribosomal RNA", at positions 28 to 414 of the family's 1533-position model. The record is from RNAcentral.